GAUGAACGCUGGCGGCGUGCCUAAUACAUGCAAGUCGAGCGAACGGACGAGAAGCUUGCUUCUCUGAUGUUAGCGGCGGACGGGUGAGUAACACGUGGAUAACCUACCUAUAAGACUGGGAUAACUUCGGGAAACCGGAGCUAAUACCGGAUAAUAUUUUGAACCGCAUGGUUCAAAAGUGAAAGACGGUCUUGCUGUCACUUAUAGAUGGAUCCGCGCUGCAUUAGCUAGUUGGUAAGGUAACGGCGUACCAAGGCAACGAUGCAUAGCCGACCUGAGAGGGUGAUCGGCCACCCUGGAACUGCGACCCGGUCCAGACUCCUACGGGCGGCAGCAGUAGGGAAUCUUCCGCAAUGGGCGCAAGCCUGACGGAGCCACGCCGCGUGAGUGAUGAAGGUCUUCGGAUCGUAAAACUCUGUUAUUAGGGAAGAACAUAUGUGUAAGUAACUGUGCACAUCUUGACGGUACCUAAUCAGAAAGCCCCGGCUAACUACGUG
This 497-nucleotide ribosomal RNA is filed under the name uncultured bacterium. RNAcentral describes it as "partial 16S ribosomal RNA". It matches the Rfam family "Bacterial small subunit ribosomal RNA", at positions 28 to 507 of the family's 1533-position model. The record is from RNAcentral.